Unclassified non-coding RNA from Actinia tenebrosa (Australian red waratah sea anemone), 961 nucleotides. NCBI's taxonomy places the organism in Eukaryota, Metazoa, Cnidaria, Anthozoa, Actiniaria, Actiniidae. The record is from RefSeq and is a predicted model, not a curated record.
GUUACAGAGUUAUAACGGGAGAUAUAGUGACUGGCGUAUUUAUAAAUACUCUGGACUUACAAUCUUCCACUACUGGAUCUGUACACCACUCGCAAGCUAGCUGAACAACGACCGCUUUAGUACCUUUAUUAGUAAACCAAGAUGAAGAGACUCUCUACAUUAGCUCUGUGCUUGAUACUCUUGAUUGGGAUCUUCCAGGCAAGCGCGUCUUCAGAUCUUCCCAACUGGCAAGACCCGAGCCAGAUAGACGAUGAUGAAAGAACGCCAUCUGAAUCAACGAGAGUAAAUCCAAGAAUGAUGAAACUAGGAGUCAAGAGAGGUGGAGGACCCCCUCACAAUCGAUGGGGUGGCAUUCUUGGAAAGCGAAACUAUUAGGACAAAAAAUAACAUGAACAAAAACCAUUGAUGCUCAGUGUUCUAAUUACUUACUAAAUGAAACCGAAAGAAACAAAUAAUAAUGGCAUAAGUUAAAACUGCACGAGACCUUUCUAGGAGACUACCAACACUGUAAUGUUUCGCUAUGCCACAAAAUGACAUUCUGAAACUCUUUCUCUGUUACCAAUGCUUUUCUUUUCCUUUUCUAGUAMUGAUUGCUAACUCAGCUUGUAAGUGCAACACAGCAAAAACAAAACAAAAAACACUUUGACACUUUGACGUAUUUUCUCCAUCUUUAGUUAAAACGCUAAACUAAACUUCACAGUAGAAUACAUAUAACGAGUACCAAUGGUCAAAAUGUGAAUAACGGUCGUAGAUUAUAUAUAUUGAAAGUGAUGAACAAUAACCCUACUUAAACUCCAUGCAAUCACAGAGCAUGAUUAAACUGAUUCAACUAAAGCAAGGUUACAUUGCUAUGGCAACAGUAGUCCUGUAUUUUAGAUAACUGACUAAUCAUUACCUUGCUAAUCAGAGAAAUGAAGUUGAAUAGUCAAAUGUUAAUAAAAUUAAUGCAUGAUUAAAAUAA